This 71-nucleotide transfer RNA is filed under the name Ambassis gymnocephalus (bald glassy). RNAcentral's name for it is "tRNA-Met". It matches the Rfam family "tRNA". Rfam says of the family: Transfer RNA (tRNA) molecules are approximately 80 nucleotides in length. Their secondary structure includes four short double-helical elements and three loops (D, anti-codon, and T loops). Further hydrogen bonds mediate the characteristic L-shaped molecular structure. tRNAs have two regions of fundamental functional importance: the anti-codon, which is responsible for specific mRNA codon recognition, and the 3' end, to which the tRNAs corresponding amino acid is attached (by aminoacyl-tRNA synthetases). tRNAs cope with the degeneracy of the genetic code in two manners: having more than one tRNA (with a specific anti-codon) for a particular amino acid; and 'wobble' base-pairing, i.e. permitting non-standard base-pairing at the 3rd anti-codon position. The record is from RNAcentral. Lineage: Eukaryota; Metazoa; Chordata; Actinopteri; Ambassidae.
AGUAAAGUAAGCUAAGUUUAAGCUUCUGGGCCCAUACCCCAAAAAUGUAGGUUAGAAUCCUUCCUUUAUUA